CUUCCAAUAUCGAGCUAGAUGCAAAACAAACAUUUACGACUACUGUAAACUAAUCCACAAGCAGCAACUUCUGAAAAUAUGAGGAACAGUGGCAAGAUUACAUGGAUGUUUUAAAAAUUCAAAGUGACAUUUGUAUGAUAAUUAACAAGAAAAUUUGAAAUAGCACUUCAUAUAAGAAUCCCCGAUGCAGAUCCAGGUAAUUCAAAUGUAACAUUUUUACAAGGUUGUCUUCAGUAAUAAGCCAUUCAGCUCAAAAAGUUUCCAAUACAAACAUAAAAUGGAAAGACUGCUCUAAUUUUUUGCUCUUAUACUUCCUAAUCAUAAGGGAUUUGGAUGUAUGCUGCAUCACAGGCAAAAGGGACAUCAGCAUACAUACCAGCAAGAGCACACCGUAUGCACUCCAAGACUGUAAAAAGAUACGCAAAUGCAAUGGCUGUCCAAAAAUGCAUACCUACUUUACCCCAGUAGACAGCGAGUGGCAUCCAACGGCUCACAGUCCCUAUCACUUGGAGAGCAAUCUCCAACAACAUGCCCAUCACUACAUGAAAUCUGAAAAAAUGUGGCCAUUCCUUCCUCCUCACAACUCCAAGAUAUGCAACAAAGAAAUAUGCCAUCAGGAACCAGCUUGGCAACCUGCCAAUCGCUCCAAGGAAUGGGUAUGUCAAAAAUUCAAAGUCUUCAAGGAAUGGGUGUAGGUGAUAUGCUGUCUCAGCAUACAUCCAUGUCUCAUGAAGAGGCAUCAAAUAAGGCAGACAUGCUAGAGUCCUCCACCACCAUCUUGGCUUCUUGGUCAUUGGAGGGUAACGAAAACUGUAUGGCACAUCCUUUGAUGCUCGAGGGCACACAUGCGAUCUUCGCUGCCUUGGUAAUGAGGGAAUAGUGUGCCAUAUUCUGCCUUGAUCACCACUUAAGAGAGGGGUUGAUGCAGCAGAAAGGUGCAAGAAUGGCAAAUCUAUUAUUGAAAAAGUCUAAAUUAGAACAAGAAGGAACCAUGAUUGAGAUGCUCCACAGCAUGUUAAGACCACAAAAAAUGAGAAGAGUUAUGUUGAGAACUAGUUAAAAUGAACUAUGGCUCCAAGAUAAGGCCACUAUACCAUAUUGUUGUGUUCACAAAAUCAACCCUUUGCUUCUCAACUGCUUCCAAAAGAACAGGGGAUGAAGGAAAAAAUAAAACAAGAGAAAUGUUUAAAAAACAUAUACCUCUAUAUGACCAGGGUUUAGACUUAAGAUCUUGAACCGAAGACCAUGAACUUCUGAUGUUUAAAAAUGCAGCCUUGGGAGUCAAUCGAGGAAUACUUGCAGAUAACAGGCUACUAGGCAUCGGUUUACAUGCCCUGGUGUUUGUUUUUGCACAUCCACCAGCGGGAGGCAUGGCACAUCCAGUUAGAAUCAUUGUCUGGUACCUUUUUGAAGAUAAGGUAAUAAUAGAAAUUACAAGGGAAAUUAAAAAAAAAGAUUCAUCCAACAAAGACAAACAAUCACCCAAGUUUCUUUUCAGAAAUGCUGUACAUUUUAGCACCGACUGCAGGGUGGGGACAUAUAGGAAUCAGACGAAACUAUGAAAAAAGAAAAUGUGUCCCUCCGGCCUCCACAUACUGUCUAGAUAAAAUUCUUAAGCAAUAUUUUUCUUUUCAGAUCUAUAAUAGUACUAAUAAAAAUAGACAAAUGCUGGGGAGAAUAUAUGACUUUU
Molecule: unclassified non-coding RNA, 1690 nt
Filed under: Hevea brasiliensis (rubber tree)
Lineage: Eukaryota; Viridiplantae; Streptophyta; Magnoliopsida; Malpighiales; Euphorbiaceae
Source: RNAcentral